GACGAACGCUGGCGGCGUGCUUAACACAUGCAAGUCGAACGGAAAGGCCCUGCUUUUGUGGGGUGCUCGAGUGGCGAACGGGUGAGUAACACGUGAGUAACCUGCCCUUGACUUUGGGAUAACUUCAGGAAACUGGGGCUAAUACCGGAUAGGAGCUCCUGCUGCAUGGUGGGGGUUGGAAAGUUUCGGCGGUUGGGGAUGGACUCGCGGCUUAUCAGCUUGUUGGUGGGGUAGUGGCUUACCAAGGCUUUGACGGGUAGCCGGCCUGAGAGGGUGACCGGCCACAUUGGGACUGAGAGACGGCCCAGACUCCUACGGGAGGCAGCAGUGGGGAAUAUUGCACAAUGGGCGGAAGCCUGAUGCAGCAACGCCGCGUGCGGGAUGACGGCCUUCGGGUUGCAAACCGCUUUCGCCUGUGACGAAGCGUGAGUGACGGUAAUGGGUAAAGAAGCACCGGCUAACUACGUG
RNAcentral lists this ribosomal RNA (468 nucleotides) under uncultured bacterium. RNAcentral's name for it is "partial 16S ribosomal RNA". It matches the Rfam family "Bacterial small subunit ribosomal RNA", at positions 28 to 507 of the family's 1533-position model. The record is from RNAcentral.